GAAAUCUUAAUUCUUAUAAGGCUUCAUCAGCAUAUAAGAACUUGCGACAUCCAUUUUGGGUUAAGUUGUCUGAGCAGGGGAUUACAGACAGAGGUCUCAAUAAGACUCAACCGCUGCAUCCAACUGAAACGUAUGAGCCCACACCACGCUGCCGUCCACCAUGGAGGUCACGUUUUCAAUGUUGCCCAACGUGACACCUACCGGGAAUCCUACUAGCAGUCACAACACUACAAAAUUCCCUUUUCAGGUCUCUCAACAUGCAGCAACAGAAGAGGAUCACAUGAACAACGUUAUUCUUGCGUGCUUUGUCGCAUUUAUUCUGGUCCUUAUUCUGCUGGUGGUCAUCAUCGUCACACCAUUAGUGCGCCAUAAGGGCAGCUACAAACCCCAGAAUGAGGACACCGUGGAAGAACCAGAAAUGUUCACGAUGCAGGAGCCCGACAAUGAAUUCAGUGAGCUCUAACACACAAAUAAGGGAGAGAAAACCUUUUAAGUCAGCGAUGAAGAAAAAUAUUCUGCUGCCUAUGCUGGAGGGUUACACUACACUCAGACUGUGUUGACCUCCAGUACCAUUGUUUGUUAUUUUUAAAGUGUAAACCUUGCAAUGUUUGUAUAGUCAAAUUUACACUAGAUAGAUUAAGAUGACACUUAGCAUUGUUUAACUUUAUUUUAGUUUCUUCAAGUUUUCAGUUAUGGCUCACCUAUCUUGUCAAAUAUUUUUGGCACCAAGUAAAUUUGGAGAUUUUUAGCAGAUGAUAAAUAUGAAUUGAUGGAGGACUCGCUUGUGACAAGUUUGUCACCAUAAAGUACACUGUGGACAUGCUGCAUCUAACCGCUGCAUCCUGGUGAAACAGUCUGCAUAAUUAAUUAAUAGACUAGUUAAUAACAAAUUAUAGCUACUGUGACAACUGGGGUACGCAUUUGCAAGCAUUUACCUAAUGACCCAUGUAAUUGAGGUUUAAUUAUAAUAAACAAUGAGCUAGCACACAUCCGCUACUCAUGGGAUAACAGAUUUAAUCCCAAAAAAGUAAAAUCAAUGUAGCUUCUAACUAAAAUGAUGAAUAAUUAGAUUUUGUUUACAGCACGAAGGGAAAUUCUACAUUUCUAUACCAGGGGUAUCUUUCCAUAUAACAACCACUGUUGAUAUGCCGCGAAGUAGUUCUAAUUUGAUCAACUCUGGAAGGAUAAAGGGUUGAGGCAGUCCCUGACUGGAAUAUGAACUCAUAACCUUCAAGGCUGUGAGCUCUCACUACUGGGCCAUACGAGCAGACAGGAUGCGAAUCAGCUGGUGCCUAAUUGUAGACAUAUGCAAUAGGUUACAUUUUACUAUAGAGCCAUACAAUUUACUGAAAACCAUCAUAGGGGCUGCCAGAGAAAUACAAAGGCUAAUCAAAUUAUACCAUUUGACUAAUAUUCUUGGGUCUUUCGGUAAAGUCACAUAAAUACAGUGAGGGAAAAAAAGUAUUUGAUCCCCUGCUGAUUUUGUACGUUUGCCCACUGACAAAGAAAUGAUCAGUCUAUAAAUUUAAUGGUAGGUUUAUUUGAACAGUGAGAGACAGAAUUACAACAACAAAAUUCAGAAAAACGCAUGUCAAAAAUGUUAUAAAUUGAUUGGCAUUUUAAUGAGGGAAAUAAGUAUUUGACCCCCUCUCAAUCAAAAAGAUUUCUGGCUCCCAGGUGUCUUUUAUACAGGUAACGAGCUGAGAUUAGGAGCACACUCUUAAAGGGAGUGCUCCUAAUCUCAGCUUGUUACCUGUAUAAAAGACACCUGUUCACAGAAGCAAUCAAUCAAUCAGAUUCCAAACUCUCCACCAUGGCCAGGACCAAAGAGCUCUCCAAGGAUCUCAGGGACAAGAUUGUAGACCUUCACAAGGCUGGAAUGGGCUACAAGACCAUCGCCAAGCAGCUUGGUGAGAAGGUGACAACAGUUGGUGCGAUUAUUCGCAAAUAGAAGAAACACAAAAGAACUGUCAAUCUCCCUCGGCCUGGGGCUUCAUGCAAGAUCUCACCUCGUGGAGUUGCAAUGGUCAUGAGAAUGGUGAGGAAUCAGCCCAGAACUACACGGGAGGAUCUUGUCAAUGAUCUUAAGGCAGCUGGGACCAUAGUCACCAAGAAAACAGUUGGUAACACAAUACGCCGUCAAAGACUGAAAUCCUGCAGCGCCCGCAAGGUCCCCCUGCUCAAGAAAGCACAUAUACAUGCCCGUCUGAAGUUUGCCAAUGAACAUCUGAAUGAUUCAGAGGACAACUGGGUGAAAGUGUUGUGGUCAGAUGAGACCAAAAUGGAGCGCUUUGGCAUCAACUCAACUCGCCGUGUUUGGAUGAGGAGGAAUGCUGCCUAUGACCCCAAGAACACCAUCCCCACCGUCAAACAUGGAGGUGGAAACCUUAUGCUUUGGGGUGUUUUUCUGCUAAGGGGACAGGACAACUUCAUCGCAUCAAAGAGACGGUGGACGGGGCCAUGUACCGUUAAAUAUUGGGUGAGAACCUCCUUACCUCAGCCAGGGCAUUGAAAAUGGAUCGUGGAUGGGUAUUCCAGCAUGACAAUGACCCAAAACACACGGCCAAGGCAACAAAGUAGUGGCUCAAGAAGAAGACAAUUAAGGUCCUGGAGUGGCCUAGCCAGUCUCCAGACCUUAAUCCCAUAUAAAAUAUGUGGAGGGAGCUGAAGGUUCGAGUUGACAAACGUCAGCCUCGAAACCUUAAUGACUUGGAGAAGAUAUACAAAGAGGAGUGGGACAAAAUCCCUUCUGAGAUGUGUGCAAACCUGGUGGCCAACUACAAGAAACGUCUGACCUCUGUGAUUGCCAAAAAGGGUUUUGCCACUAAGUACUAAGCCAUGUUUUGCAGAGGGGUCAAAUACUUAUUUCCCUCAUUAAAAUGCAAAUCAAUUUAUAACAUUUUUGACAUGCGUUUUUCUGGAUUUUGUUGUUGUUAUUCUG
Molecule: long non-coding RNA, 2941 nt
Organism: Lethenteron reissneri (Far Eastern brook lamprey)
Lineage: Eukaryota; Metazoa; Chordata; Hyperoartia; Petromyzontiformes; Petromyzontidae
Source: RefSeq, a predicted model, not a curated record